Molecule: ribosomal RNA, 496 nt
Filed under: uncultured bacterium
Lineage: Bacteria
Description: partial 16S ribosomal RNA
Rfam family: Bacterial small subunit ribosomal RNA
Source: RNAcentral
AUUGAACGCUGGCGGAAUGCUUUACACAUGCAAGUCGAACGGUAGAGGGGGCAACCCCUCGAGAGUGGCGAACGGGUGAGUAAUAUAUCGGAACGUGCCCAGUCGUGGGGGAUAACGUAGCGAAAGUUACGCUAAUACCGCAUCCGAUCUAAGGAUGAAAGCGGGGGAUAGCAAGACAUCGCGCGAUUGGAGCGGCCGAUAUCGGAUUAGGUAGUUGGUGGGGUAAAGGCCCACCAAGCCAACGAUCUGUAGCUGGUCUGAGAGGACGACCAGCCACACUGGAACUGAGACACGGUCCAGACUCCUACGGGAGGCAGCAGUGGGGAAUUUUGGACAAUGGGCGAAAGCCUGAUCCAGCCAUUCCGCGUGCAGGAUGAAGGCCCUCGGGUUGUAAACUGCUUUUGUACAGAACGAAAAGGUUUCUACUAAUACUAGGAGCUCAUGACGGUACUGUAAGAAUAAGCACCGGCUAACUACGUGCCAGCCGCCGCGGUAA